UGAAAGUGAAUUCAGAUCCCUUUA
This 24-nucleotide non-coding RNA is filed under the name Rattus norvegicus (Norway rat). The record is from RNAcentral. Lineage: Eukaryota; Metazoa; Chordata; Mammalia; Rodentia; Muridae.